AGAGUUUGAUCCUGGCUCAGGAUGAACGCUGGUGGCGUGCCUAAUACAUGCAAGUCGAACGAGGACCCUUGUACUCGUACAGGGAAUUCCUAGUGGCGAACGGGUGAGUAACGCGUUGGUGACCUGCCCCGAAGAGAGGGACAACAGUUCGAAAGGACUGCUAAUACCUCAUGUGGCCGUAAGGGUUAAAGGCCUUACGACUAAAGGAUUUAUCCGCUUCGGGAGGGGCCUGCGUCCCAUCAGCUUGUUGGUAGGGUAAUGGCCUACCAAGGCGAAGACGGGUAGGGGACCUGAGAGGGUGACCCCCCACACUGGAACUGAAACACGGUCCAGACACCUACGGGUGGCAGCAGUAGGGAAUAUUGCGCAAUGGGCGAAAGCCUGACGCAGCAACGCCGCGUGCACGAUGAAGGUCUUCGGAUCGUAAAGUGCUUUUAUGAGGGAAGAGAAAGGACUGUACCUCAUGAAUAAGGAUCGGCUAACUACGUGCCAGCAGCCGCGGUAACACGUAGGAUCCAAGCGUUAUCCGGAUUUACUGGGCGUAAA
RNAcentral lists this ribosomal RNA (546 nucleotides) under uncultured Chloroflexota bacterium. Its description in RNAcentral is "bacterial SSU rRNA". It matches the Rfam family "Bacterial small subunit ribosomal RNA", at positions 8 to 564 of the family's 1533-position model. The record is from RNAcentral. Lineage: Bacteria; Bacillati; Chloroflexota.